CCUACGGGAGGCAGCAGUGAGGAAUAUUGGUCAAUGGACGAGAGUCUGAACCAGCCAAGUAGCGUGAAGGAUGACUGCCCUAUGGGUGGUAAACUUCUUUUAUAUGGGAAUAAAAUGUUCCACGUGUGGGAUUUUGUAUGUACCAUAUGAAUAAGGAUCGGCUAACUCCGUGCCAGCAGCCGCGGUAAUACGGAGGAUCCGAGCGUUAUCCGGAUUGAUUGGGUUUAAAGGGAGCGUAGGUGGUUUGUUAAGUCAGUUGUGAAAGUCUGCGGCUCAACCGUAAAAGUGCAGUUGAAACUGGCAGUCUUGAGUGCAGUAGAGGUGGGUGGAAUUCGUGGUGUAGCGGUGAAAUGCUUAGAUAUCACGAAGAAUUCCGAUUGCGAAGGCAGUUCACUGGACUGCAACUGACGCUGAGGCUCGAAAGUGUGGGUAUCAAACAGGAGUAGAUACCCUUGUAGUC
RNAcentral lists this ribosomal RNA (460 nucleotides) under uncultured bacterium. RNAcentral describes it as "partial 16S ribosomal RNA". It matches the Rfam family "Bacterial small subunit ribosomal RNA", at positions 338 to 795 of the family's 1533-position model. The record is from RNAcentral.